GCUAACGUUCGUCGUGGAGAGGGAAACAACCCAGACCGCCAGCUAAGGUCCCAAAGUCUAUAUUAAGUGGGAAACGAAGUGGGAAGGCUUAGACAGCUAGGAUGUUGGCUUAGAAGCAGCCAUCAUUUAAAGAAAGCGUAAUAGCUCACUAGUCGAGUCGGCCUGCGCGGAAGAUGUAACGGGGCUCAAAUAUAGCACCGAAGCUGCGGCAUCAGAAUUUAUUCUGUUGGGUAGGGGAGCGUUGUGUAAGCGGAUGAAGGUGGCUCGAGAGGGUUGCUGGACGUAUCACAAGUGCGAAUGCUGACAUAAGUAACGAUAAAACGAGUGAAAAACUCGUUCGCCGGAAGACCAAGGGUUCCUGUCCAACGUUAAUCGGGGCAGGGUGAGUCGGCCCCUAAGGCGAGGCUGAAAAGCGUAGUCGAUGGGAAACGGGUUAAUAUUCCCGUACUUGGAUAAACUGCGAUGUGGGGACGGAGAAGGUUAGGUUAGCAGACUGUUGGAUGUCUGUUUAAGGUGGUAGGUGGAAGACUUAGGCAAAUCCGGGUCUUUAUAAACACUGAGAGCUGAUGACGAGGUCUUAAGGGACUGAAGUAACUGAUACCCUGCUUCCAGGAAAAGCCACUAAGCUUCAGGUUUAUCUAAACCGUACUGAAAACCGACACAGGUGGUCAGGUAGAGAAUACUCAGGCGCUUGAGAGAACUCGGGUGAAGGAACUAGGCAAAAUAGCACCGUAACUUCGGGAGAAGGUGCGCUUACAGUAAUUGUAGUCCCUUGCGGAUGAAGGUGAAGUAAGUCGAAGAUACCAGCUGGCUGCAACUGUUUAUUAAAAACACAGCACUCUGCAAACACGAAAGUGGACGUAUAGGGUGUGAUGCCUGCCCGGUGCUGGAAGGUUAAUUGAUGGUGUUAUCGAAAGAGAAGCUCCUGAUCGAAGCCCCAGUAAACGGCGGCCGUAACUAUAACGGUCCUAAGGUAGCGAAAUUCCUUGUCGGGUAAGUUCCGACCUGCACGAAUGGCAUAAUGAUGGCCAGGCUGUCUCCACCCGAGACUCAGUGAAAUUGAAAUCGCCGUGAAGAU
Molecule: ribosomal RNA, 1078 nt
Filed under: Pasteurella multocida subsp. septica
Lineage: Bacteria; Pseudomonadati; Pseudomonadota; Gammaproteobacteria; Pasteurellales; Pasteurellaceae
Description: bacterial LSU rRNA
Rfam family: Bacterial large subunit ribosomal RNA
Source: RNAcentral